RNAcentral lists this long non-coding RNA (1137 nucleotides) under Scleropages formosus (Asian bonytongue). RNAcentral's name for it is "lncRNA (ENSSFOG00015027902.1)". Lineage: Eukaryota; Metazoa; Chordata; Actinopteri; Osteoglossiformes; Osteoglossidae. The record is from RNAcentral.
GCGAUGGGGAAGCAUUCCACGUUGAUAAACCUAAUGGGCAGUGUGUGGAGAAUGCUCGAGUAGCCAACCUCCCCCCCUUCGCCAGAGCCGUAAUUGGGAUAGAUCGCUGACAGAAGGGAGAAGGCGGGGCUGGGCACGGGGGAGGGCAUGGGAAGGUGCAAGGCUAGAAACAAAAGGUGUUCUCCUUCUGAAGGACAGGCUACAAUCUCCCUGGAUUCAUCUCUUAAGUGAUACUCUGAACCUGUUCUAUUUAAUCUGCCCGUCUACAGCGAUUGCGGAGUGAAGAAAGGAAAGGAAUCCAUCACGGCCUUUGCGUUUCUCUCUCUUUUAUGAAGGGACGGUGUGACGGUUCACUUACGAAGAGCCCGACGUCCAGCCGCACCGGGUUCAUUGACCCUGCUUGAUCUCCCCUCUGCGGCGAAUCAUCCCGGAGCCCCGGCUCUCGCUUCGCAGGAUACUGAGAACCAGGCAGGUGUGACGCAGUGCUGAGCAAACAAUGGGCUGUAAUGCGUUAUCUUCUGGAACUUUGCUGCCCUCCUACGUAACAGCAUCCUGUGGUCCAUGGCAGAAGAUAUAUGACGUGUAUUGAGAAAAAGGUAAUGAGGUUGAAGAAGCCUCCUGUCGAGGUAGUGACCAUGACCCACAGUAGACUCCUCCACCUCCCAACUGGUGGUCCAGUACGGCCCCAGGCUCGUUUGUCACGGCGCUGUCGAUGGAAGUCACUUGCCUGAUACUGACUGCAUCUGUGAACGAGAAGGACUCCAUGCAAGAAAGAUGAACUUCCAGAUCCUCCAUCGCAACAUCUGCCCGAAGGAGAACAGCCGAGCCGGUUUUGCCACAAACGGGGAAGUCACGCAGACGCACCGGUGUGUUACAUGGCUCACCGCCGAGGGCGCGGUGCCUUCCACCCGGACGCUGCUGCUCUCUGUCAGGACCCAUGCUGCCGUCAGCCUGCUCUGCUCCUCAGUCGCCCCGGCGAUCAGCACUUUGCCGGACGGCGCAUCGCCGGAGUUUGCCUGCUGGUCGGCUGAGCUGAGCAACAGCCCCCGUUGCGCUCCGCAUCGCAGGUUUGCCCUCUCAAAAACAAAAACGGCAGGAGCGACAAAACACCUGGCAGAGCGCUCAUUGCAGCUUUAA